CGAACGCUGGCGGCGUGCUUAACACAUGCAAGUCGAACGGAAAGGCCCUGCUUUUGUGGGGUGCUCGAGUGGCGAACGGGUGAGUAACACGUGAGUAACCUGCCCUUGACUUUGGGAUAACUUCAGGAAACUGGGGCUAAUACCGGAUAGGAGCUCCUGCUGCAUGGUGGGGGGUGGAAAGUUUCGGCGGUUGGGGAUGGACUCGCGGCUUAUCAGCUUGUUGGUGGGGUAGUGGCUUACCAAGGCUUUGACGGGUAGCCGGCCUGAGAGGGUGACCGGCCACAUUGGGACUGAGAUACGGCCCAGACUCCUACGGGAGGCAGCAGUGGGGAAUAUUGCACAAUGGGCGGAAGCCUGAUGCAGCAACGCCGCGUGCGGGAUGACGGCCUUCGGGUUGUAAACCGCUUUCGCCUGUGACGAAGCGUGAGUGACGGUAAUGGGUAAAGAAGCACCGGCUAACUACGUG
Molecule: ribosomal RNA, 466 nt
Filed under: uncultured bacterium
Lineage: Bacteria
Description: partial 16S ribosomal RNA
Rfam family: Bacterial small subunit ribosomal RNA
Source: RNAcentral